Molecule: transfer RNA, 74 nt
Filed under: Allobosea sp. RAC05
Lineage: Bacteria; Pseudomonadati; Pseudomonadota; Alphaproteobacteria; Hyphomicrobiales; Alloboseaceae
Description: Bosea sp. RAC05 tRNA
Rfam family: tRNA
About the family: Transfer RNA (tRNA) molecules are approximately 80 nucleotides in length. Their secondary structure includes four short double-helical elements and three loops (D, anti-codon, and T loops).
Source: Rfam by way of RNAcentral
CAGGGCGUAGCGCAGUCUGGUAGCGCACCGAGCUUGGGCCUCGGGGGUCGCAGGGUCGUAGCCUGCCGCCCUGA